AAUCCAUAGGUUAAUGAGGCGAACCGGGGGAACUGAAACAUCUAAGUACCCCGAGGAAAAGAAAUCAACCGAGAUUCCCCCAGUAGCGGCGAGCGAACGGGGAGGAGCCCAGAGCCUGAAUCAGCAUGUGUGUUAGUGGAAGCGUCUGGAAAGGCGCGCGAUACAGGGUGACAGCCCCGUACACAAAAGCGCAUGUGCUGUGAGCUCGAUGAGUAGGGCGGGACACGUGGUAUCCUGUCUGAAUAUGGGGGGACCAUCCUCCAAGGCUAAAUACUCCUGACUGACCGAUAGUGAACCAGUACCGUGAGGGAAAGGCGAAAAGAACCCCGGCGAGGGGAGUGAAAAAGAACCUGAAACCGUGUACGUACAAGCAGUGGGAGCCCCACCACCAAAGCGUUUCGCUUUGUGUGGUGCACAAAGAAGCGUAACGACAGCACUGAAUGACGGUUAACGGAGCGCAAGCGACGUUCAACAUACAAAGUCAAGCAGUGGAGCGCUUUGGGGUGGGGUGACUGCG
This 517-nucleotide ribosomal RNA is filed under the name Salmonella enterica subsp. enterica serovar Weltevreden. RNAcentral describes it as "partial 23S ribosomal RNA". It matches the Rfam family "Bacterial large subunit ribosomal RNA", at positions 161 to 601 of the family's 2925-position model. The record is from RNAcentral. Lineage: Bacteria; Pseudomonadati; Pseudomonadota; Gammaproteobacteria; Enterobacterales; Enterobacteriaceae.